AAGAGAUCGAGGAAUAAUCAUGGAAAUCGACCAUGAUUGAGGAACGAUUCUAUUAGUUAUUACGAAACAACAUCAAAAGGAGAUAUAACAUUAUAAAUACUAAGGAGAUAUUCCAGCUCAUUCGUCAGAUUCUCAGACAUAAUCGUCGUUUAUACCUUUCCUGAAUCCGAAAUUGACAAGGGUUUAUGUUCAAGCGAUCUGGAGAAACCAUUAGCAGAUAUGUGAACACGGUGUUGAAAGGAGUUAUUAGACUUCAAGGGGAGUUGCUUAAACAACCAGUUGCAGUGGCUACAAGUUCUGUUGAUGAGAGAUGGAAUUGCUUCAAGAACUGCCUAGGGGCAUUAGAUGGAACACAUAUUAGUAUCCAUGUGGCAACCGAAGACAAUC
Papaver somniferum (opium poppy) is the source of this 387-nucleotide long non-coding RNA. RefSeq lists it as uncharacterized. The transcript has 4 exons. The record is from RefSeq and is a predicted model, not a curated record. NCBI's taxonomy places the organism in Eukaryota, Viridiplantae, Streptophyta, Magnoliopsida, Ranunculales, Papaveraceae.